RNAcentral lists this ribosomal RNA (497 nucleotides) under uncultured bacterium. Its description in RNAcentral is "partial 16S ribosomal RNA". It matches the Rfam family "Bacterial small subunit ribosomal RNA", at positions 28 to 507 of the family's 1533-position model. The record is from RNAcentral.
GAUGAACGCUGGCGGCGUGCCUAAUACAUGCAAGUCGAGCGAACAGACGAGGAGCUUGCUCCUCUGACGUUAGCGGCGGACGGGUGAGUAACACGUGGAUAACCUACCUAUAAGACUGGGAUAACUUCGGGAAACCGGAGCUAAUACCGGAUAAUAUAUUGAACCGCAUGGUUCAAUAGUGAAAGACGGUUUUGCUGUCACUUAUAGAUGGAUCCGCGCCGCAUUAGCUAGUUGGGAAGGUAACGGCUUACCAAGGCAACGAUGCGUAGCCGACCUGAGAGAGUGAUCGGCCACACUGGAACUGAGACACGGUCCAGGCUCCUACGGGAGGGAGCAGUAGGGAAUCUGCCGCAAUGGGCGAAAGCCUGGCGGAGCAACGCCGCGUGAAUGAUGAAGGUCUUCGGAUCGUAAAACUCGGUUAUUAGGGAAGAACAAAUGUGUAAGUAACUAUGCACGUCUUGACGGUACCUAAUCAGAAAGCCACGGCUAACUACGUG